AUUGAACGCUGGCGGCAUGCUUUACACAUGCAAGUCGAGCGGCAGCGCGGGGGCAACCCUGGCGGCGAGCGGCGAACGGGUGAGUAAUGCAUCGGAACGUAUCCUCGAGUGGGGGAUAACCCAGCGAAAGUUGGGCUAAUACCGCAUGAGCUCUGAGGAGGAAAGCGGGGGACCUGCGAGGGCCUCGCGCUGGAGGAGCGGCCGAUGUCCGAUUAGCUAGUUGGUGGCGUAAAGGCUUACCAAGGCGACGAUCGGUAGCUGGUCUGAGAGGAUGAUCAGCUACACUGGCACGGAGACACAGCCCAGACUCCUAGGGGAGGCAGCAGUGGGGAAUUUUGGGGGAUGGGGGAGAGCCUGAUCCAGCCAUGCCGCGUGAGUGAAGAAGGCCUUCGGGUUGUAAAGCUCUUUCGGACGUAACGAAGUGGGCGGGACUAAUACUCCUGUCUGAUGACGGUACCGGAAGAAGAAGCACCGGCUAACUACGUG
This 486-nucleotide ribosomal RNA is filed under the name uncultured bacterium. Its description in RNAcentral is "partial 16S ribosomal RNA". It matches the Rfam family "Bacterial small subunit ribosomal RNA", at positions 29 to 507 of the family's 1533-position model. The record is from RNAcentral.